RNAcentral lists this long non-coding RNA (759 nucleotides) under Monodelphis domestica (gray short-tailed opossum). RNAcentral's name for it is "lncRNA (ENSMODG00000032843.2)". Lineage: Eukaryota; Metazoa; Chordata; Mammalia; Didelphimorphia; Didelphidae. The record is from RNAcentral.
CCUGAUUGAUUGAAGUGAAAGUGUUGGAAGAAUACUGCUUUUUUUUCUCUAUGUUUUCAGAGAUAAUAAAAUGAUCUUUGGAAGGAUGGAAACAGUUCAUUAAAAAGAAUACUCAGAAGAGAAAGAUUCUAAAAGGAAAGAAGGAAAUCCUAAACUAUGUCAGAAUAGAAGGUAGAAGAAUGUAGCAAAAAGAAGGAAAGAAAAAAAACACCAAAUGCCUGGAGCUAUGGGCAGUGAAAUGUACUCUGAACACAGUGAGCAUGCUUCAUCUGUCAAAUUUAGUUACACUUUAUUGCAUCUCUCAUUAGCUGAGAUCAUGGGGAAAAACAUUUCUCAUGCUGUUGGACUGCCAACUCAUAUUUGGACAACAGUUAAGCUCUUAAGCAAUGAAGCAUCUGCCUAAGAUUCUAUUGCCUCAAACUCCAAAACAACCCAAGGAAGUGUUUGGCCAGGAAAUGGCCUUAGAUCUGCCUGCACUAUUGAAGAAGGGCAACCAGCAAGUACUCUUCUCUUCCAGGAGGAAAGGCUUGGAGGCCCUGUGCAAAGCUUGUCUCCUUGACACCAAACAGUGGCUGAAUCAGGACCAGAACACAAGGCCCACAGGACCUCUCUCUCCAGGAAGGAUUCGCAGAGUACAUUGGAUUUUCCCUGAUUUUCUAACCCUGGAGCAGGGCCCCCCUGUGGUUAAUUUAACACUUGUAAAUUUCCACUCAGCUGAGACAAAUCUGCCUCUGUCUGAAUAAAUUGACCAUAUUCCAU